This 244-nucleotide ribosomal RNA is filed under the name uncultured Bacteroidota bacterium. RNAcentral describes it as "uncultured Bacteroidetes bacterium partial 16S ribosomal RNA". It matches the Rfam family "Bacterial small subunit ribosomal RNA", at positions 796 to 1041 of the family's 1533-position model. Lineage: Bacteria; Pseudomonadati; Bacteroidota. The record is from RNAcentral.
CACGCUGUAAACUAUGAUAACUAUCUUUUAGCGAUACACAGUUAGAGGGUACGAGAAAUCAUUAAGUUAUCCACCUGGGGAGUACGUUCGCAAGAAUGAAACUCAAAGGAAUUGACGGGGGCCCGCACAAGCGGAGGAGCAUGUGGUUUAAUUCGAUGAUACGCGAGGAACCUUACCUGGGCUCGAACGGUACAUGAAUUAAAUGCGAAAACGUUUAAGACCUUCGGGACAUGUAUCGAGGUGC